UACGUAGGUGACCAGCGUUGUCCGGAUUUACUGGGCGUAAAGAGCGCGCAGGCGGUCGUUCAAGUCGAGUGUGAAAGCCCCCGGCUCAACUGGGGAGGGUCACUCGAUACUGAUCGACUGGAAGGCAGGAGAGGGAAGCGGAAUUCCCGGUGUAGUGGUGAAAUGCGUAGAUAUCGGGAGGAACACCAGUGGCGAAGGCGGCUUCCUGGCCUGUUUCUUGACGCUGAGGCGCGAAAGCUAGGGGAGCAAACGGG
Molecule: ribosomal RNA, 254 nt
Filed under: uncultured bacterium
Lineage: Bacteria
Description: partial 16S ribosomal RNA
Rfam family: Bacterial small subunit ribosomal RNA
Source: RNAcentral